RNAcentral lists this ribosomal RNA (443 nucleotides) under uncultured soil bacterium. RNAcentral's name for it is "bacterial SSU rRNA". It matches the Rfam family "Bacterial small subunit ribosomal RNA", at positions 26 to 518 of the family's 1533-position model. The record is from RNAcentral.
AGAGCGAACGCUGGCGGCAGGCUUAACACACGCAAGUCGAGCGCCCGUAGCAAUACGGGAGCGGCAGACGGGAGAGUAACACGUGGGAACAUGCCCUUCGGUUCGGAAUAACUCAGGGAAACUUGAGCUAAUACCGGAUACGUCCGUAAGGAGAAAGAUUUAUCGCCGAAGGAUUGGCCCGCGUCCGAUUAGCUUGUGGUGAGGUAAUGGCUCACCAAGGCGACGAUCGGUAGCUGGUCUGAGAGGAUGAUCAGCCUCACUGGGACUGAGACACGGCCCAGACUCUUACGGGAGGCAGCAGUGGGGAAUAUUGGACAAUGGGCGAAAGCCUGAUCCAGCCAUGCCGCGUGGGUGAUGAAGGCCUUAGGUUGUAAAGCCCUUUCGGCGGGAAGAUAAUGACGGUACCGCAGAAGAACGCCCGCUAACUUCGUGCCAGCAGCCGC